UACAGAGGGUGCAAGCGUUAAUCGGAAUUACUGGGCGUAAAGCGCGCGUAGGUGGUUCGUUAAGUUGGAUGUGAAAUCCCCGGGCUCAACCUGGGACUUGCAGUUGAAACUGGAAAGCUAGAGUAGGGUAGAGGGGUGUGGAAUUCCAGGUGUAGCGGUGAAAUGCGUAGAGAUAUGGAGGAACACCAGUGGCGAAGGCGACUUUCUGGUCUGCAACUGACACUGAGGCGCGAAAGCGUGGGGAGCAAACAGG
Molecule: ribosomal RNA, 253 nt
Filed under: uncultured bacterium
Lineage: Bacteria
Description: partial 16S ribosomal RNA
Rfam family: Bacterial small subunit ribosomal RNA
Source: RNAcentral